This 253-nucleotide ribosomal RNA is filed under the name uncultured bacterium. RNAcentral describes it as "partial 16S ribosomal RNA". It matches the Rfam family "Bacterial small subunit ribosomal RNA", at positions 524 to 776 of the family's 1533-position model. The record is from RNAcentral.
UACGGAGGGUGCGAGCGUUAUUCGGAUUCACUGGGCGUAAAGCGCGCGUAGGCGGUUAGGUAAGUCUGAUGUGAAAGCCCUCGACUUAAUCGAGGAAGUGCAUUGGAUACUGCCUGACUAGAGUACAGGAGAGGAAGAUGGAAUUCCCGGUGUAGAGGUGAAAUUCGUAGAUAUCGGGAGGAACAACAGAGGCGAAGGCGAUCUUCUGGACUGUAACUGACGCUGAGGCGCGAAAGCGUGGGUAGCAAACAGG